GACUUUAGAAAUCGUGAGGGUUCAAGUCCCUCUAUCCCC
Molecule: transfer RNA, 39 nt
Filed under: Apodolirion cedarbergense
Lineage: Eukaryota; Viridiplantae; Streptophyta; Magnoliopsida; Asparagales; Amaryllidaceae
Also listed under: 1 other name
Description: partial tRNA-Leu
Source: RNAcentral